AAAAAAGUCAUAGAUGUAAACUCAGAAUUGUCAUGUAUAUAAACUUGGAAUUGAGAAAUCAAGUCAGAAUUGUGUGAUUUUAAAAAGUCGCAAUUUUCCUUUUUACAUUUUUUUUUUUUAUUUAAUGGCAGAAACAGGCUUCCAUGCAAGUAUCUUAUCACUUUGUUCACUUUAAUAUUCACAGCUCAGCGAGUGUUGAUUGAUAUUCGCACCAGUGUCAGGUGGCGUGUCAGAACGCCAUGAUAUCAUGAUGGAUAAGCAAGUGUUUAUGUCGGAGGGCUCAGGAAGAUUUUUAAAAGCAAACAGUCCAGAUGAUGGAAAAACACUGUUCUUUUAAACUACCCAUCGGCUUCGAGUCGUCUAGCAACGCACAAAAUGUAACGGCUGAGGCUUUGAGGAACCUUUCGUGAGGUGUUGGAAGUCUGGGAGAAACAUUUAUGAUAUAUCCAUUUAAGCUUUAGUCCAACCCUUUGCCUUAAAAGUCAGAGAUUUGUCUAUGAAACCACUUUUAUAAGCAUUAGUUUAAGCUCUGUACAGACAGAAAGACAUAUACGAAUGCAAGUGUUCAGGUUAUGAAAGUGUUCGAGGCGUUUGAAAUGAAAGAUUGCUGUACCUCAUCCGCCAAAACCUCCUUUUUAAUGGUAGACUAGUGAGAAUUGAACAACAGGUUCACACAUUUCAUCCUAGCUAUGUUGAGACGUCUAAAUGACAUUCUGUACACACAAAGCAAGCCGAUACAGAAGAAUUGAUUUCCUUCCUUAUUGGCUCAUCACAUGCCCAAAUCCAGUUAUUAAUGCACAUUAUUUCACAUGCAAAAUACCUAAAACACACCCAAUAAUUGGCAUGUUUUGCAAAUAUGUGUAAAUUUGACUUGUCUUUUUUUGGUUUUUGCCCUAUUUGAUUUAUUUUGUAAACAUGGCUUCGGAAAGAUGUUUAUGAAUAUGUGGGAUGAUUUGAUUGUUGCACCUAAUAAUCCGCAGCCUGAAGGUCAAGAUUUAUUUAAAUAAAUGCUAAGAAACCGAAAGGCCACUGCACAUGCUGUUACAGUACAGAUGUACAUAAUAGUGCCGUGGUGUACACGAAAGAUUUAAUUCUCUACAAUUAUGAGUGAUCUUUUUAUUGCCACAAAAGGAUAAGAAAAUAAAGACUAUUGAACACA
Rhinichthys klamathensis goyatoka is the source of this 1159-nucleotide long non-coding RNA. RefSeq lists it as uncharacterized. The record is from RefSeq and is a predicted model, not a curated record. NCBI's taxonomy places the organism in Eukaryota, Metazoa, Chordata, Actinopteri, Cypriniformes, Leuciscidae. The transcript is spliced from 2 exons.